AAAAUCAGGUACCGUGAAAAAGCGAAGAAAACAAUACCUGUGACCCCCACGUGGUAGGUGAGCGCUAGAGCCCUGGGGCGCAUCUUUCCAGGCCUGUGUGUGUGGCAGAAAAGGAGGUCAUGCACAUGCUCUUCUGAAACCCGCCUUGCCCCUGAGCAAAGGCCAAGCUGCUGUGUCACGGCCCACAGCUACGGUGGCUCAGAGGCCACAGACACUGUCUCCCCUUCACCUCCAGGGUGGGGACAGAGCUCAGCUUGCCUAGCGACACGAGACUCUGGCUUCCGCCCCCUAUCCCGGAAGAGAAGAGAAGCGCUCCAAGCAGCGCGGACAGUUCCACUCCGUGUCACUCAGGGUUCCUGGGCCCUCUCUUAGGACGUGGUCUGCAUGGUGGCAGUUGUCACUGUUUUAGUCAGCCUUUUCAAUGCUGUGACCAAAAGACCCCACAAGAAUGGUGUUAGAAGAGGAUAAGUUUACUUGGCACUCAGGGUUUCGGAGGCCUCAGUCCUUAGAAGGUCGGCUCCGCGGCUCUGGCUGAGGUGAGGCCACACAUGGCGGAAGGUUGUGGUGGAGGCAGGCAGUCGGGCCGACCGAGAGCCGAGAGAGCUCACCAGGGACAAAAUACGAGCCCCAAAGGCACAGCCCCAGUGACACCAUCCUCCAGCCACACCCUACCUGCCGACAGUUACCAUCCAGUUGGUCCAUACUAAUGGAUCAGUCCCCCAUUAGGCUCCCAUAACCCAAUCAUGUCACCUCUAGCCCUUCUUGAUUGUCUCCCAUGAGUCUCUGAGGAGCACCUCAUGUCUGACCCAUAACUGACACAUUCCCAGUUUGCAGAAAAGGAAAGGCACACAGGGAUCAUAUGCCAGCAUUUUGAGUGUCAGACCCCAUCCCGGCAGGCAACAGUUCCUCUGCGUUUCGUUAACAAAAGCCCAAUGCCUGGCAGCAAGGGCUGCUGGGAAGCGCCUACCAACUGAGAGCGGCUGUUAGCUGACAGCGCCAUUUCCUUGAGGAUCACCCAAGUGGUGCCUUGUGUCGCCAGUCUUUUUCGUUGCCAAGUAAUGCUCCGCAGUGUGUAUGUACCACGCUAUUUAACUGCUUAACCCUUUGGGGGAUAUCUGGGUGGUCCUAAAUUGGGGCCAUUCCAAAGAAGCUGCUGAGCCUUGUGUACUAGCCUCUGCAUGAAAAUAAGCUUUCCUUUCUGUGGGAUGUGCCCAUGCAUAUAAUUGUUGGGUCAUGAGAUAAGUUCAUUUUUAAUUUCAAAAGGAACGGCCAAGGGCUGGGAUGUGGCUCGGUGGUGGUGG
Molecule: long non-coding RNA, 1301 nt
Filed under: Marmota monax (woodchuck)
Lineage: Eukaryota; Metazoa; Chordata; Mammalia; Rodentia; Sciuridae
Source: RNAcentral